AGAGUUUGAUCAUGGCUCAGAACAAACGCUGGCGGCGUGCCUAAUACAUGCAAGUCGAACGAGGUAGCAAUACCAAGUGGCGCACGGGUGAGUAACACGUGGAUAAUCUGCCUUCUAGUGGGGAACAACUACCCGAAAGGGUAGCUAAUACCGCAUAAGACCACAAGCUCUGCGGAGCAAGGGGUUAAAGCCGUAAGGCGCUAGAAGAUGAGUCCGCGUAAGAUUAGCUAGUUGGUGGGGUAAAAGCCUACCAAGGCGACGAUCUUUAGCUGGUCUGAGAGGAUGAUCAGCCACACUGGAACUGAGACACGGUCCAGACUCCUACGGGAGGCAGCAGUAGGGAAUAUUGCGCAAUGGGCGAAAGCCUGACGCAGCGACGCCGCGUGAGUGAUGAAGGCCUUAGGGUCGUAAAGCUCUGUUGUGAGGGAAAAUGAUGAUGGUACCUCAUAAGAAAGGACCGGCUAACUUCGUGCCAGCAGCCGCGGUAAGACGAGGGGUCCUAGCGUUGUUCGGAAUCAUUGGGCGUAAAGCGUAUGUAGGCGGCCUGUCAAGUCAGCUGUGAAAUCCCUGGGCUCAACCCAGGACGUGCAGUUGAUACUGAUGGGCUUGAAUAUGGGAGAGGAUAGUGGAAUUCCUGGUGUAGUGGUGAAAUACGUAGAUAUCAGGAGGAACACCGGUGGCGAAGGCGGCUAUCUGGCCC
RNAcentral lists this ribosomal RNA (700 nucleotides) under uncultured bacterium. Its description in RNAcentral is "bacterial SSU rRNA". It matches the Rfam family "Bacterial small subunit ribosomal RNA", at positions 8 to 735 of the family's 1533-position model. The record is from RNAcentral.